Molecule: ribosomal RNA, 491 nt
Filed under: uncultured Saccharomyces
Lineage: Eukaryota; Fungi; Ascomycota; Saccharomycetes; Saccharomycetales; Saccharomycetaceae
Description: partial large subunit ribosomal RNA
Rfam family: Eukaryotic large subunit ribosomal RNA
Source: RNAcentral
UAAUUUGGAGAGGGCAACUUUGGGGCCGUUCCUUGUCUAUGUUCCUUGGAACAGGACGUCGUAGAGGGUGAGAAUCCCGUGUGGCGAGGAGUGCGGUUCUUUGUAAAGUGCCUUCGAAGAGUCGAGUUGUUUGGGAAUGCAGCUCUAAGUGGGUGGUAAAUUCCAUCUAAAGCUAAAUAUUGGCGAGAGACCGAUAGCGAACAAGUACAGUGAUGGAAAGAUGAAAAGAACUUUGAAAAGAGAGUGAAAAAGUACGUGAAAUUGUUGAAAGGGAAGGGCAUUUGAUCAGACAUGGUGUUUUGUGCCCUCUGCUCCUUGUGGGUAGGGGAAUCUCGCAUUUCACUGGGCCAGCAUCAGUUUUGGUGGCAGGAUAAAUCCAUAGGAAUGUAGCUUGCCUCGGUAAGUAUUAUAGCCUGUGGGAAUACUGCCAGCUGGGACUGAGGACUGCGACGUAAGUCAAGGAUGCUGGCAUAAUGGUUAUAUGCCGCCCG